RNAcentral lists this small RNA (397 nucleotides) under Histoplasma capsulatum. RNAcentral's name for it is "hypothetical RNA". RNAcentral also lists the same sequence under 1 other name. Lineage: Eukaryota; Fungi; Ascomycota; Eurotiomycetes; Onygenales; Ajellomycetaceae. The record is from RNAcentral.
ACUUUGCUAUGUAUUUGCUGAAGGCUCACAUGCGGGAUACCAUCGUUCACCUUCUUGAGUCAAUCAACAUACAGCAAAAGCAAAGCAUUCAUCUUCGAGCUGCCUUUUUCAAAAUCUCUUUCUUUACCAAGCUGCGUUUCAACAAGGACUGGCUGUAGUUGUUUGUUAGCACCAUCCACGGGUAAAAGCCACAUAUUUUCGCGCUUUUCAAUGGUUUUAUAUAAAUGUACUUACCGAUCAAUGAGCUCCAAGGGGUCAGCUUCCAAGUCUAUAAUUCUUGGGGGAAGACGAUGCUGGAGGCAAGGGGCUAUCGCGUCAAGGGGCUAUAUGUGUAAUAAAUGAUUGACGGUGUACCAGCAGAGAUGAGCUUUAGGGAAGAGUGUCCUCCUGAAGAAGA